This 482-nucleotide ribosomal RNA is filed under the name uncultured bacterium. RNAcentral describes it as "partial 16S ribosomal RNA". It matches the Rfam family "Bacterial small subunit ribosomal RNA", at positions 30 to 507 of the family's 1533-position model. The record is from RNAcentral.
AUUGAACGCUGGCGGCAUGCCUUACACAUGCAAGUCGAACGGUAACAGGUCUUCGGAUGCUGACGAGUGGCGAACGGGUGAGUAAUACAUCGGAACGUGCCCGAUCGUGGGGGAUAACGAAGCGAAAGCUUUGCUAAUACCGCAUACGAUCUACGGAUGAAAGCAGGGGACCGCAAGGCCUUGCGCGAACGGAGCGGCCGAUGGCAGAUUAGGUAGUUGGUGGGAAAAAAGCUUACCAAGCCGACGAUCUGUAGCUGGUCUGAGAGGACGACCAGCCACACUGGGACUGAGACACGGCCCAGACUCCUACGGGAGGCAGCAGUGGGGAAUUUUGGACAAUGGGCGAAAGCCUGAUCCAGCCAUGCCGCGUGCAGGAUGAAGGCCUUCGGGUUGUAAACUGCUUUUGUACGGAACGAAAAGACUCUGGUUAAUACCUGGGGUCCAUGACGGUACCGUAAGAAUAAGCACCGGCUAACUACGUG